AGACGUCGGACUGAUCAGGAGCCAA
RNAcentral lists this non-coding RNA (25 nucleotides) under Cricetulus griseus (Chinese hamster). The record is from RNAcentral. Lineage: Eukaryota; Metazoa; Chordata; Mammalia; Rodentia; Cricetidae.